AAAAGACUCUCUCAGCUGCUCCUGAAAACAUCGUGCUUCUGUAAACACUCAGACAGCUCAUCAAAAUCUCGAGCUGUAACCAUGGGGAAAAUAUCGAAACAUGGAUCUGCCCCUGCAAUCAGAACAGCUUAAUCCACAUUCCCGACAAUGCCUGAAUUUUUGUCAGCCCCAAAGGGGUUCCCAGAAGGGCUUCCUCAUCCCCAGAAGAUAAACCAGCACCUAAGGGGAUACCACCUGGGUCAGGGAGCGUAUUUCCUGGUGUUACUAUGUCACAUUCACGUGAUCUGUUCGUUGAGCAAAGAUCUAAAUUCUCGAGCCUGGUGUUCGUGGACAGGGCGCUCAAGCUGAGCCUGAGCCCGGCUUCUUCGCAGUCUUGUUUGAUUCAGGUCAACAGCUGUCCACCAAGCAUUCUCUGUGCCAAGCGCUCUGCUAGGAAUGAGGACGGUGGGAGGUGGAGAAGCGGCCGCGUCCACAGCGGAGGGCGGGCAGGGAAGGCGGCGCACCCACGUUAUCGGGAUGCUGAUGCUCAGCGAGAGCGUCUGGGAAGGAGGCGUGUCCCGGGCACCACGUGACUGUGGCCCCGGAGGAGAAAGGCACUUUUGCUUGAGGGGAGGCCUUCCGAAGAGAGAGAUAUAGGAAGUGGAUCUUAAUCUGCCGCAGGAAAGGAUUCCCCAGCAGGAGAGCGGGAGAGGUUUUCAUCUGAGGUCCUGCGUAUUAAACAGCAUUCAGCAGGAGAUGAGCUGACAUGAUGGAGGAGCUGGGCCGGGGCCAGAGUGGAGGCUCAAGCAGAUUCCCCAGCCCCUGGGGGCAGCCCUCCACCCUAAGAGAAACCGAGACAUGGAUGAGUCAGGACAUGCCUUCCCUGCCGACUCGCCCGGCCUGCUCGGGAUCAGAAUCAGCCAACACCCAUUCCCAACACACUGGUUACACCAUCCACUCGCCACCCUCGAGCUGGGACCCACCCAGCUCUGCCUUUAAGGGUGGCGCUCGGCUUGCUGUUCUGCGGAGGCCCACACCCUCUCUGUGGCUUUAUCCUCUACUUUAACCCUCCCACAGAAGCACAGACAGAUUAUCCCGGCCCCUGGGAAGCACCUCCAGUUCUCAGGCAUCGGAAACACAGACGCACUUAUCAGGUUACCGCUAGAACCACAUACGUGCCGGAGAAGAGGCAGCCCUGGAAGCUCAGCCGUUAACGGCAGUACCAGGAUUCCAACCCGCGUGCUUGGUUCUGUCCCGGACACAGGGCCGGAGGCAAUGCUGCUGCCUGCUCCCUUGGCAAUGAAGCCUGGUGUUAUCUGCAGCUGGGGUGAUGGUGGACACUCGAACACUGUUCCCCAAGGCCUGGCAGGGUGAAGAAGUGCACUUUCAGAUGAACCCCAAGUUCCAGCUUCAGACUCCCUGGGGAGAUGUUCUCAGCUGGAGGCAGUGCCCUAAGCAUCACUGGAAACAUCUCGGGGGAUGGAACAAGUCAGUUCUAAACUGGUUUUCAAGUACUGAGCUGUGGACACACAGACCACAGACAUGCAGCCCAGGCAGGGGUAAUGAAGGAAGGCCUCACAGAGGUGUCUUCCGGCGUUUUGUCUGCAGUAAACGUUUUCCUGCCAAGAGCUUUUUCUGAAAGCAGAAUUGUCUCCUCAGGACAGAUUCCUGGGAGAGAAACGACGGGGUCAGAAGUUGUGGGCAUCUUUAUGGCUCUGGAUAUCCAUCCCUCAUCAAAGAUCAUGGUGACUUUUUUUAUUUUGAAUUGUGAUUCUUGUAGUUGAUGCUGUUAUUGUUACGAAAGGAUUAGAUGAUCGAUGUAGAAAACCUGGAAAAGUCGAAAGAUGCAAAUAAAAAUCUCCCGUAUUUCACCCACCUAAAUGGAAUCCUUAUCAGUAACGUGUUGGUGUAUCUUUUUCCUGUAUUUAUUUUUCUUUAAUGUAAGUUUUAGGGUUUUUUGUUUGUUUCAGUGCAUGCAUGAAUUAACAUAAUUGUGAUGAUACUCUGAAUAAAUUGGAGAUCACAGUUUUC
Molecule: long non-coding RNA, 2010 nt
Filed under: Equus caballus (horse)
Lineage: Eukaryota; Metazoa; Chordata; Mammalia; Perissodactyla; Equidae
Description: lncRNA (ENSECAG00000052651.1)
Source: RNAcentral